CCUUGUGGGUGAGCGAGUGCUGCUUGAGGUGGUGGAUCUGGCUGAACUCCAUGCCGCACUCGGUGCACACGAAUGGGCCGCACAUUCUGGUGCUUGAGCAUGUGGUUCUGCAGCUGGCUGCGGUGAGUGGAAGGACUUGUCACACUCGGGGGCACUGGUACAGGGUGGGGCCCUGGUGGGAGGCCAGGUGGCGCUUGAGCUGGGUCAGGGUGGAGAAGUCCAGGCCGCACUUCGGCACACACGUGGCAGCGGCCACUCUCGUGCUUCACCUCGUGAGCCUUGAGCUCGCUGGGGUAGGCGAAGCCACGGCCUACAGAAGUGGCAGCUGUAGGGCUUGACCUCGGAGUGCAGCAGCAUGUGGCGCUUGAGGUGGCUGGUCUGUGUGAAGGCCUUAUGGCACACCUGGCACUUGUGGGGCCGAGUGCCCUGGUGCGUGAGCAGGUGCGUCUGCAGGUGGCUGGGCUGCUUGAAGAGCUUGCUGCAGUGCGGGCACGAGUGGGGCUUGAUGCCGUUGUGGCCGAGAAUGUGCGUCACCAGGUUGUACUUGGACGUGUAGGACUUCUCGCACAUGCGGCAUUGCCAGCGCUUCUGCCGGUCGCCCGCCUCCACCAGGUAGGAGUCGUCGAUCUGCACAUUGAUGUGUCCAGCCGGUCCAGCUGGGCUUUCUUGUGGCGCCCACGGUGGAGCCUGUGGCAUCUGGCUCAAACUCGCCCACCUCCUGCCACACAAAGCCCUGCUCCAGCUUCACAGGCUCUGGGGAGGCCAUGGUGGGGACCUUGGGAUCACUCAGGGGGGCCAGGUGGGGUGGCUCAAAACCACACUCCGCAGGCAAGGCCUCUGGCCCAGGCAGUGCCAUGCUGGGCUCAGGGAAGCUGUCCCGGCCUGGGUCGGGAAAGUGAGGGUCAUAGGGGGCCACAUCCAGCUCCGUCCUUGGAGUUCGAGGCAGAUGCCGGAGUGUCCGGGGCUUGCGGCUGAAGGUGCUGAGGUCGAUCAUCUUGACGGCGCUGCUCUGCACCAGGGCCUCACAGCCACCCCGGGCUACCUCGGCAGGGACCUCGGGCGGCCCUGCAUCCUUGUCAUCCCCAGGCACGGAGACCUCAUAGACCUCCUGCUCCUCUUCCUCCUCCACCUUCUCGAACUUGACCUUGGGCACCAGCCGCACAGGCGGCCGGGUCUUCCGCCCGGUGUGCUUCUCGAAGGCCGCUUCCACUUCUAGCACCUCCUCCUCCGCUGGCUCCUCCAGGGCCUGCCCGUUGCAGGCCAGCUGGUAGACAUUAGGGCCUGGUGGCCGGGGCUCCCCAUGGCUGCCCCCGACAGCUCAGGCCCUAGGUCUGGGUAGAAGGCUUCGGCGCUUAUGGUGGCUCCGAAGAGCUCAUUUUCUGAGACCAGGCCCAGCACGGCAGCCUGGGCCAAGGACAGCACCACCACGGCAUCUGUCUGUGUCCCUGAGUCCAUGAAGCCCUCCAUCCCUCGGCGGCUGGCUAGGAGGGCAUUGCUGCGAAGGAGAAGGAGAAAGGUCAACGCCUGCUGGCUCAACACGUGGACCUGGUUGGUGACGGGGAUCUGCUUCAAACUCCCAGCACCAGAGACACUGUCCAAAAGCUGCUGAGGACACAGGACACUCAUCAUGACUGGUUUAGUUUGAUGACCACUCCUUGAGGCCCGGGUCUUGCUAGGUCUCUAAGCUCCCCAGGCUGGCCUUCAACUUGUGAUCUUCCUGCCUCAGCCUCCCAAAGGGCUGGGAUUACAGGUAUGUGCCCAGGUCCAGUUCUGCCCUUUGGUCCCUUGAUGGUGGCCUUGAAUCACCAGGAUCUAAUCCUGCAACUGAGCCAUUGAUGAGUGCCCAUCAGGUAGCAGGUGAGUGUACACAACAGGAGC
Molecule: long non-coding RNA, 1878 nt
Filed under: Heterocephalus glaber (naked mole-rat)
Lineage: Eukaryota; Metazoa; Chordata; Mammalia; Rodentia; Bathyergidae
Description: lncRNA (ENSHGLG00000032811.1)
Source: RNAcentral